This 451-nucleotide ribosomal RNA is filed under the name uncultured bacterium. RNAcentral's name for it is "bacterial SSU rRNA". It matches the Rfam family "Bacterial small subunit ribosomal RNA", at positions 29 to 514 of the family's 1533-position model. The record is from RNAcentral.
AAUCAACGCUGGCGGCGCGCUUAACACAUGCAAGUCGAACGAGAAAGGGAGCAAUCCCUGAGUAAAGUGGCGCACGGGUGAGUAACACGUGGGUAAUCUACCUCUGGGUGGGGAAUAACUCUGGGAAACCGGAGCUAAUACCGCAUAAGCUCGGGAGAGGAAAGGCGAAAGUCGCCGGGAGAGGAGCCCGCGGUCGAUUAGUUAGAUGGUGAGGUAAGAGCUCACCAUGGCAAAGAUCGAUAGCCGGCCUGAGAGGGCACACGGCCACACUGGCACUGAAACACGGGCCAGACUCCUACGGGAGGCAGCAGUGGGGAAUCUUGCACAAGUGGGGGAAACCCUGAUGCAGCGACGCCGCGUGAGUGAUGAAGCCCUUGGGUGUAAGCUCUUUCGACCCGGAAGAUAAUGACGGUACGGGAAGAAGAAGCUGCGGCUAACUACGUGCCAGCAG